ACACGUAGGGGCCUGACGUUGUUCGGAAUCAUUGGGCGUAAAGGGCGCGCAGGCGGCCGUCCAAGUCCGGUGUUAAAUGGUCGGGCUCAACCCGAUCAUGCGCUGGAAACUGGGCGGCUUGAGUCCCGUAGGGGAUGCCGGAAUUCCAGGUGUAGGGGUGAAAUCUGUAGAUAUCUGGAAGAACACCGAUGGCGAAGGCAGGCAUCUGGCCGGAGACUGACGCUGAGGCGCGAAGGCGCGGGGAGCGAACAGGUUUAGAUACCCUGGUAGUCCGCGCAGUAAACGAUGCGCACUAGGUGUCGGGCGGCAGCGCCCGGUACCGGAGCUAACGCGAUGAGUGCGCCGCCUGGGGAGUAUGCCCGCAAGGGUGAAACUUAAAGGAAUUGACGGGG
This 392-nucleotide ribosomal RNA is filed under the name uncultured bacterium. RNAcentral's name for it is "partial 16S ribosomal RNA". It matches the Rfam family "Bacterial small subunit ribosomal RNA", at positions 523 to 918 of the family's 1533-position model. The record is from RNAcentral.